This 273-nucleotide ribosomal RNA is filed under the name uncultured bacterium. RNAcentral describes it as "partial 16S ribosomal RNA". It matches the Rfam family "Bacterial small subunit ribosomal RNA", at positions 523 to 796 of the family's 1533-position model. The record is from RNAcentral.
CUACGGAGGGUGCAAGCGUUACUCGGAAUCACUGGGCGUAAAGCGCGCGCAGGCGGCUAUUUAAAUUGGAUGUGAAAGCCUACGGCUCAACCGUAGAACUGCAUCCAAACUAUUUAGCUAGAGUGUGGGAGAGGAAGAUGGAAUUAGUUGUGUAGGGGUAAAAUCCGUAGAGAUAGCUAGGAAUACCAAAAGCGAAGGCAAUCUUCUGGAACAGUACUGACGCUGAGGCGCGAAAGCGUGGGGAGCAAACAGGAUUAGAAACCCUAGUAGUCC